UUCAUGGUGCUGGCUGAAGACCUGCUGUUCGGUCCAGAGCUGCGAGGACGCCGGGCGACGCUUCUGCUUCCGGGUGGUCACGCCCACAAGGCUUCAUCUGGAAACCUCCACACUGUUGGUCCUCUGGGGUGAGGUGUUCCUCAGAGGUGACGUGUUCCACAGGGAUUAAAGAUCCUUCACCUGAAAUUCAUCAAUAUGUGAAGAAGAAACUCAACAACUGGAGGAAACUGAAGGUUGUGGGUUUAGUUACCACAAAUAAAUACUACUUAGAUUUAAUCCAGACUGGAAGUAUCAGCACUUCUACACAGGACAGUACGAUCUAUGGGGGUGACGUGUCCCUCUUCUGCUGACUGCAUUAUCAAAAGAUCUGACAGGCAGAUAGACAAAUGUACUUUAUUAAAGAGAAAUCCAGGAAUACUCUUUUAGACUCUUUAACUGUUUAUUUUUAAUGCUGUGAGGCUGUAAACAGAGUGAAAAUGUUGAAACUAUUGUGGGACUGAGCAGCAUCAGACAGAAAAGACUUCUAAUAGAACUUUUUGGGUUGGUUUCACAGCCUUAAUCCCUGUCUGGGAAACAACCCUUUGAGUUUGGUGGAAGUGGUUUUGUGGCCCAAAGUGAAAUGAUUAAGUCUGAUGUUCUUUACAUCUAGUUUCUCAUCCACUCCCAAUAACAGUGCUGUACUAAUACUUUUAACUUUUACUAUAAACCUGUAAAACAACCUGUAA
Long non-coding RNA from Trichomycterus rosablanca, 725 nucleotides. RefSeq lists it as uncharacterized. The record is from RefSeq and is a predicted model, not a curated record. NCBI's taxonomy places the organism in Eukaryota, Metazoa, Chordata, Actinopteri, Siluriformes, Trichomycteridae. The transcript has 3 exons.